GCCUAGGUAGCUCAGUUGGUAGAGCAUUCGCCUGAAGAGCGAAGGGUCGGCGGUUCGAGACCGCCCCUAGGCA
Molecule: transfer RNA, 73 nt
Filed under: Candidatus Zambryskibacteria bacterium RIFCSPHIGHO2_01_FULL_35_32
Lineage: Bacteria; Candidatus Zambryskiibacteriota
Also listed under: 1 other name
Description: tRNA-Phe
Rfam family: tRNA
About the family: Transfer RNA (tRNA) molecules are approximately 80 nucleotides in length. Their secondary structure includes four short double-helical elements and three loops (D, anti-codon, and T loops).
Source: RNAcentral